CUACAUUGUUAGUGGAACUGAAAGUUAAUACAACUACUUUGGAAAGCAACAUGAAAAUUUCUCAAAGACUAGAAAUAAACCCACCACAUGACCCAGCUAUCCCACUCCUUGGUGUUGACUCCAAAGAACAUGCAUACCAAUCUUUAUAGCUGAGCAGUGCACAAUAGUCAAGUUAUGGGACCAGCCUGCGUGUCCCCCAAUAGAUGAAUGGAUAAAGAAAAGGUGGCAUAUAUACACAAUGGAUAUAAAGAAGAAUGAAAUUAUGUCAUUUUCCAGUGGAUGAAUGGAAUUACAGAAUAUCUCCCAAGGGAAAUAAGACAGACUCAGAAAGUCAAGGACCAAAUUGUUCUCUCAUAUGUGGAAGCUAGAGAGAAGUAAGGUAUUUGUUAAAGGUGAUCUCAUGAAAACAGAAGGGGGAAAACAGUGUGGUAGAGGAGGGAGAUAGAGGAGGAGGGAGUGGGGAGGGGAAAGGGAAGGAAAUGCAUACUGACAUUGACAAAUUAUACUAUGUGCAUGAAUGUAUAUAUCACAAUGAAUUCUACCUUUACACAUAAGCACCAAUUACAAACAAAAAUUAACCAAAGGAAGACCAAUAGAGUAGUGGAAAGAGAUCAGGAGGAGGGAGGAAUAGAGGGAAGAUGGUAGUAUUAGAGAUUGAAAUGGAGCAAACUAUGUUAUGGGGAUUUAUGAAUAUGUCAAAAUGAGCCCCAUAAUUAUAUAAACCAAAUGCAUUAAUAAAAACAUAAAUUUAGGGCUGGGGAUAUGGCUCAGUUGUUAGAGUGCUUGCCUAGCAUGCACAAGUCCUUAGGUUCAAUCCCCAGCACUACCAAAAAAAAAAAAAAAAAAAAAACCCAUAAAUUUAUAGAAAGAAUUUUUGCUUUCAUGAGUUUAAAGACUGCAUAGAAAUCUAACAUUCACCUCUUAAAACGGACUUCUCUUUGAAAAUCACUUGUUCAAAUGAGACAAUUAAUUUGUUUCUUGUUCUAAGUUAUAGUAUUCCUGUGCUUUGAAAUUUUUAAAUUUUGAUUUAUGAAGAUUUCAUUGAGUUAAGUGGCAUGUUAAGGUAGCAUAUAAAAUAAAAACCACAUAACUCUUUGCUUUUUCUUUCACGACAAAACAAGUGAUUUUGAUGAAGUGAUUUCCAAGAGUCAGGCUCUAUAAUCUCCAAAUGUUGGCUGCUUCUUGACAUGCUUCAUUCUUUUGGCAGCUCCUCUGGGUAAACUAUAUCUGACUCUCUCUGAGUCCUCUCAUUUACGUCAGUUAUGAGUUGUGUGUGAAGACCAAUUGCAGCAAACACUUUCUGUUUUUCUUCCGUUCCAAGGAAUAGACAAGAUAUUUGGACAGCAUGAUUAAUGAUGAAGUCAAAUUAUUUCAUCCCAUGAAACAUGAUGAAGUGUCCAAACUGCAGCCACAGAUAUUCUGGGUUUUCAGAUUUGAGUAAGUAGGCAUUCAACCAAAAUUGAAUUUCAUUUCUUGAAAGCUAGCAGGUGCAUGCAUGUCCACUAAUUUCAUUUUGGUAAUAUUCUAAAUUAAUUUAGAAAGAGAAACCUUUAAAACGUGAACAUUGUGUUUUUGAAAUCAUUUCAAAUAUAUAAAAAUUGUAAAAAUAAUACAGUGUCUGUGAAUCCUUUACUCAGUUCCAAACAUUUUUCAUUACCUGGUGCAUUUGUCAAAUCUAAGAAACAAAUCAAUGUUGGUCAUGCACAUUACUCUUUGAACUAAACUCCAGACUUGAUUCAGGCUUCACUAGGUUUUCCAUUAAGUCCCUUUUCUGUCUCAGGAUGCAAUCUAAGUUAGUUGCCGUGUUCUCCAUAUUUUUGUCUAGUUCGUAAUAGUUUCUCAGUCCUUUCCUAUUUUUCAUAAUCUUCACAGUUUUGUAGAAUGCUGCUCAGCUACUUCAAAUUCUUCAAUUUGGACUUGAAUAUUUUUUUUUCAUGAUUAUACAUCAGUUAUGAAUUUUUGGAAAGAAUAUCAAAGAGUGCCUUUCUUAUGACAUCAUGCCAGUGGGUAUGUGACAUCCUCAUGACACCAUACUGAAGGUGUUAACCAUCAUUUCUUGCUAAAGCGGUAGUUUUUCCUGUUUCUCUCCCUGGGGAAGUUACUAUUUUUUCAGAAUUUGGCACUUCAAGACAACGUAACAAACUAACCAAUGCCACAGAAGAGAGUUAUGCUGUUGUACCUCAGUUUCUUUAUUUGUAAACUUUACCUUCCAUAAAGAUAAUAGUAAUGUCUACUUCACAGGGUUGUUUGAAGACUGAAUGAGUCAAUAUUUGUAAAGCACUUAGAGGAGCAUAAAAUAAAAGCUUUGUACCUUGGGUAGGUGCAGAGGGUUAGUAAAUCGCUCAGGGUUUGUGGCAACUAAAUAUAGGAAGCAGCUUGUUUCAUAUUUACCCAGAAUCCUGUAAGCCCUUAUAAUUUAACUACUAUGUUUGUUGAGGAAAAAACAGAUGUUAAGUUUUCUCCCUAGACAGAGGAGAUAUAAGAAGAAAAAAAAAUACCUCUGCAUGCCUUUCUGACUUCACAACUUAAUAAAACCAGCACAUAUUGCAAGUACAAUUAGAAAACAAAAAAAAUUUCAAGUUUUCAAUAAUUACUUUCACAUUUGUAGACAGUUUCCCAUUAAAUCCCAGUAAAAUAGUAACCACACAAAUUCUCAACUACUCAUGAACUAGUCACAAAAUUAUGACCUUUAGAUUACUUCUCAUUUCCUUCUCCCUGAAACAAACUUUAAUCUCUUUUUACUUUUCUGGGUUUUUUUCCCCCAGGAUCACAGUGAUAAAUACUAGAGUGAUUUUUUAAAUAGUCAUUCAUUUUGUACAUCUUUUUCAAUAAAUGAGUCUUUUAUUCAAACUCUUUUUUAGUAGAUGAAAUGAUUGAAAGUGGAAUCACAAAAUCAAUGAUUCAUCUUAGCAAUAAAAAAUAAAAUCCCAUCUAUGUGCAUCUCAUAAUAGAGCACACAUAUGCCUUCCUUGAUGAAAGUCUGAAAUAUAUUUUUUUGUAACUCUCAAUUGAUUUUUAAAAGUUUUUAAGUGUGUAGCGCUGACUACAGCAGGAAACUGCUGAAGAGGUUACUUUGCCUUUCUACUUUCGUUGAGUCAGUGCAUUCUGGGUAUCCUUUCUGUCAAGAAAUUAAUCAGGGACAUGGGGAAAUUUACUGACAAGGACUCAACCACAAAUACUAUCUAUAGUGUUUAAGCACAACAUGUCAGCACAUGUAUUCCACUGUACACCAAAAUUAUUGUGAUAGCACUGUCUCCAAUUAGCACCAGUACCAAGGGCAUUCUGGACACCCAGAUGAUGGUGGUUUUAUGAACUUUAUUCUAGGAUCUGCCUUGAUGUCUAACAGACACAUUGCUACUCCAUAUGGUGUUGUAUGCAGUUAGACACAGUUGGGGUCAGCAACUGAUAUAGAAAAUUUUGAAUGUGAAAAGGAAAAUUGGGGAAUGAACUUAUUUUUUAAAAUGUCUUCAAAGAAGGAUUCACAACAGGUUGAGUUUCUGUUUGGGCAAUAUUGGAAAAAACUGUUCCCACUUUAUUUAACAAACAUUUAUAAGGCACUUAAUCCAUGCCGGUGCUUUACGAAUGUUGACUCAUUUUUCAUAACCACCUUGAGGGAGAAACAAAGAGGUUUAACAAAUUGCAGGUGAUAUGGGAAUUAUGUGCAGCUAGAGCUACUUGCCCGGUGGUUGACAGGGGGCACCUGCUAGUGUCUGUUGAGCUGGGCAGUUGGAAACCCUGUCCUGCAGACCUGUGCCUGUAGGGCAGAGGCCAUUAAGUUUCUCCUCUCCCUGCUCCCAUUGUAUUGUAUUUCAGGUUUCUGUGAUAAAGAUCUGAAUACAACUUGGAGAAACAAACUCACGCCCUGCCCUGCCCUGCCCUCUAAAACCCAGUGAUGAAAAAGUUCUCUAAAACUCCUGGAGAAAAAGCGAUCAGAGAGAGUCAGGUUGAAAGAAUUUUAACCUGGAAUGAUGGUGCAAUGUGAUGAUCAUUACUAUCCAAAGACACCAAUUGGUGUGAAUAUACUAUGUGUACAACCAGAGAUAAGAAAAAUUGUGCUCUAUACAUGUAAUAAGAAUUGUAAUGCAUUCUGCUGUCAUAUUUAAAUUAAAAAAUUACAUAAAGAAAACAAAGAAUUUGAAAUCGCUCAUCAGAAAACAGAGACGUGUUUCUAGA
Molecule: long non-coding RNA, 4173 nt
Filed under: Marmota monax (woodchuck)
Lineage: Eukaryota; Metazoa; Chordata; Mammalia; Rodentia; Sciuridae
Source: RNAcentral